This 460-nucleotide ribosomal RNA is filed under the name NC10 bacterium enrichment culture. RNAcentral describes it as "bacterial SSU rRNA". It matches the Rfam family "Bacterial small subunit ribosomal RNA", at positions 977 to 1434 of the family's 1533-position model. The record is from RNAcentral. Lineage: Bacteria; Methylomirabilota (SeqCode).
GGGCUUGACAUCCCACGAACCUGCCCGAAAAGGUGGGGUGCCCGCAAGGGAGCGUGGAGACAGGUGGUGCAUGGCUGUCGUCAGCUCGUGUCGUGAGAUGUUGGGUUAAGUCCCGCAACGAGCGCAACCCUCACCCCUAGCUGCCACCGGGUUAAGCCGAGCACUCAAGGGGAACUGCCAGCGUCAAGCUGGAGGAAGGCGGGGAUGACGUCAAGUCAUCAUGCCCCUUACGCCCUGGGCUACACACGUGCUACAAUGGCCAGUACAAAGGGACGCGAGACUGCGAAGUGGAGCUAAUCCCAAAAAGCUGGUCUAAGUUCAGAUUGCAGUCUGCAACUCGACUGCAUGAAGGAGGAAUCGCUAGUAAUCGCGUAUCAGCCCGGCGCGGUGAAUACGUUCCCGGGCCUUGUACACACCGCCCGUCACACCACGAAAGCUGUCUGUACUCGAAGUCGCUGAG